Molecule: long non-coding RNA, 788 nt
Organism: Mugil cephalus (flathead mullet)
Lineage: Eukaryota; Metazoa; Chordata; Actinopteri; Mugiliformes; Mugilidae
Exons: 3
Source: RefSeq, a predicted model, not a curated record
AUGUUAUUUAUACUCGACCUGCAGGUUGGGACUUAUUAGGUGAAAGAGAAAAAGUCCAGACGGUGUGCAUCGGGAAGGAAUUUAGUCUGCCAGUGGACUCCACGUCGAGGAUUGUGACUUUCACGCCAAGCCCCGAUGGGCCGAGACGUGUCCUGCUGGACAAGACCACUGUGAAGGAUCCACGGUUCAAGUGGACCAGAGAUAAAACGUUGGUCCUGAAAGAAGUGACUCACAGUGAUCAGGGGCUUUAUGUCAGUGGCAGUAAAGGCCUCAGCAAAGCAUCACAAAUGAGGACACUCACUGGAGCAAUGACUGCCUGAAGUCACAUUUCCUCCAGUUUGAAUGUGAGUAUCGUCUGAUUCAGGGGUUCUCAAAGUUCUGCAAGCUGGGCCUCCCUAAAGGUGGUUGGAAAGACAUGUAGAGGCAGCAGCAGCAGCGAUCAAAUGUAAACAUCGGUAUUAAGUGUAAUAAACUUCAUCACCAGAGUCUCUCUCAUUAACACACCUGUCUGACCAAAAUAGCCCCUCUCAUCCACACAGACACACCUGUGUUCACCAAGCUACAGGUUUCACAGCAGCUCAUUACACCACACCACUGUUUAACGGAGAUCUGCUGAUGAAGUUUUUACAGUUAAUACUGAUGUUUACAUCAGAUCGUUGCUCUGUGUGUGUGCGUGCUGACUGAUUGCCAGUGGUCGGUCGAAGUAGGACGCUUGUCCUGCUUGCUUGAUCGUUUGAGUGGCUGGGGCACAAUAGUAGGUGCUCUGUGUGAAACAGUGCACUGUUGAG